UUAGAGUUUGAUCCUGGCUCAGAUUGAACGCUGGCGGCAUGCCUUACACAUGCAAGUCGAACGGCAGCGCGGGGCAACCUGGCGGCGAGUGGCGAACGGGUGAGUAAUAUAUCGGAACGUGCCCUGGAGUGGGGGAUAACGCAGCGAAAGUUGCGCUAAUACCGCAUACGAUCUAAGGAUGAAAGCAGGGGACCGCAAGGCCUUGUGCUCCUGGAGCGGCCGAUAUCUGAUUAGCUAGUUGGUGGGGUAAAGGCCUACCAAGGCAUCGAUCAGUAGCUGGUCUGAGAGGACGACCAGCCACACUGGAACUGAGACACGGUCCAGACUCCUACGGGAGGCAGCAGUGGGGAAUUUUGGACAAUGGGCGCAAGCCUGAUCCAGCAAUGCCGCGUGAGUGAAGAAGGCCUUCGGGUUGUAAAGCUCCUUUGUCAGGGAAGAAACGGUAUGGGCUAAUAUCCCGUACUAAUGACGGUACCUGAAGAAUAAGCACCGGCUAACUACGUGCCAGCAGCCGCGGUAAUACGUAGGGUGCAAGCGUUAAUCGGAAUUACUGGGCGUAAAGCGUGCGCAGGCGGUUUUGUAAGUCUGUCGUGAAAUCCU
RNAcentral lists this ribosomal RNA (600 nucleotides) under bacterium enrichment culture clone F61x_D18_T3_B03. RNAcentral describes it as "bacterial SSU rRNA". It matches the Rfam family "Bacterial small subunit ribosomal RNA", at positions 1 to 603 of the family's 1533-position model. The record is from RNAcentral.